RNAcentral lists this non-coding RNA (23 nucleotides) under Cricetulus griseus (Chinese hamster). The record is from RNAcentral. Lineage: Eukaryota; Metazoa; Chordata; Mammalia; Rodentia; Cricetidae.
GGGAAACUAACCAAGGAGAGAGG